AAUGGUCUGGUACUGAUGGCUCUAUUGUCCCUCCAUCAGGUCCUAAUGGCCUGGUAUUCAGGGCUCUACUGUCCCUCCAUCAGGUCCUAAUGGCCUGGUACUCAAGGGCUCUACUGUCCCUCCAUCAGGUCCUAAUGGCCUGGUACUCAGGGCUCUACUGUCCCUCCAUCAGGUCCUAAUGGCCUGGUACUCAGGGCUCUACUGUCCCUCCAUCAGGUCCUAAUGGCCUGGUACUCAGGGCUCUACUGUCCCUCCAUCAGGUCCUAAUGGCCUGGUACUCAGGGCUCUACUGUCCCUCCAUCAGGUCCUAAUGGCCUGGUACUCAGGGCUCUACUGUCCCUCCAUCAGGUCCUAAUGGCCUGGUACUCAGGGCUCUACUGUCCCUCCAUCAGGUCCUAAUGGCCUGGUACUCAGGGCUCUACUGUCCCUCCAUCAGGUCCUAAUGGCCUGGUACUCAGGGCUCUACUGUCCCUCCAUCAGGUCCUAAUGGCCUGGUACUCAGGGCUCUACUGUCCCUCCAUCAGGUCCUAAUGGCCUGGUACUCAGGGCUCUACUGUCCCUCCAUCAGGUCCUAAUGGCCUGGUACUCAGGGCUCUACUGUCCCUCCAUCAGGUCCUAAUGGCCUGGUACUCAGGGCUCUACUGUCCCUCCAUCAGGUCCUAAUGGCCUGGUACUCAGGGCUCUACUGUCCCUCCAUCAGGUCCUAAUGGCCUGGUACUCAGGGCUCUACUGUCCCUCCAUCAGGUCCUAAUGGCCUGGUACUCAGGGCUCUACUGUCCCUCCAUCAGGUCCUAAUGGCCUGGUACUCAGGGCUCUACUGUCCCUCCAUCAGGUCCUAAUGGCCUGGUACUCAGGGCUCUACUGUCCCUCCAUCAGGUCCUAAUGGCCUGGUACUCAGGGCUCUACUGUCCCUCCAUCAGGUCCUAAUGGCCUGGUACUCAGGGCUCUACUGUCCCUCCAUCAGGUCCUAAUGGCCUGGUACUCAGGGCUCUACUGUCCCUCCAUCAGGUCCUAAUGGCCUGGUACUCAGGGCUCUACUGUCCCUCCAUCAGGUCCUAAUGGCCUGGUACUCAGGGCUCUAC
This is a long non-coding RNA of Oncorhynchus keta (chum salmon), 1082 nucleotides long. RefSeq lists it as uncharacterized. Lineage: Eukaryota; Metazoa; Chordata; Actinopteri; Salmoniformes; Salmonidae. The record is from RefSeq and is a predicted model, not a curated record. The transcript has 5 exons.